This 110-nucleotide ribosomal RNA is filed under the name Cebus imitator (Panamanian white-faced capuchin). Lineage: Eukaryota; Metazoa; Chordata; Mammalia; Primates; Cebidae. The record is from RNAcentral.
CUCUAUAGUCAUACGCCCCUGAAUGUGGAGAUCGUGGAAGCUAAGCAGAGUUAGGCCUGGUUAGUACUUGGAUGGGAGACCCACUGGGAAUACCAGGUGCGCUGUAAGCU